RNAcentral lists this ribosomal RNA (549 nucleotides) under uncultured bacterium. RNAcentral's name for it is "bacterial SSU rRNA". It matches the Rfam family "Bacterial small subunit ribosomal RNA", at positions 356 to 896 of the family's 1533-position model. The record is from RNAcentral.
GGGGAAUAUUGGACAAUGGGCGCAAGCCUGAUCCAGCCAUGCCGCGUGUGUGAAGAAGGCCUUUUGGUUGUAAAGCACUUUAAGCGAGGAGGAGGCUCCUUUAGUUAAUACCUAAAGAGAGUGGACGUUACUCGCAGAAUAAGCACCGGCUAACUCUGUGCCAGCAGCCGCGGUAAUACAGAGGGUGCGAGCGUUAAUCGGAUUUACUGGGCGUAAAGCGUGCGUAGGCGGCUUUUUAAGUCGGAUGUGAAAUCCCUGAGCUUAACUUAGGAAUUGCAUUCGAUACUGGAGAGCUAGAGUAUGGGAGAGGAUGGUAGAAUUCCAGGUGUAGCGGUGAAAUGCGUAGAGAUCUGGAGGAAUACCGAUGGCGAAGGCAGCCAUCUGGCCUAAUACUGACGCUGAGGUACGAAAGCAUGGGGAGCAAACAGGAUUAGAUACCCUGGUAGUCCAUGCCGUAAACGAUGUCUACUAGCCGUUGGGGCCUUUGAGGCUUUAGUGGCGCAGCUAACGCGAUAAGUAGACCGCCUGGGGAGUACGGUCGCAAGACUA